UACGGAGGGUGCGAGCGUUGUCCGGAAUCAUUGGGCGUAAAGGGCGCGUAGGUGGCCCGGUCAGUUCGUGGUGAAAGCGCGGGGCUCAACCCUGCGUCGGCCAUGAAUACUGCCGCGGCUGGAGCACUGUAGAGGCAGGCGGAAUUCCGGGUGUAGCGGUGGAAUGCGUAGAGAUCCGGAAGAACACCGGUGGCGAAGGCGGCCUGCUGGGCAGUUGCUGGCACUGAGGCGCGACAGCGUGGGGAGCAAACAGG
RNAcentral lists this ribosomal RNA (254 nucleotides) under uncultured bacterium. RNAcentral describes it as "partial 16S ribosomal RNA". It matches the Rfam family "Bacterial small subunit ribosomal RNA", at positions 524 to 776 of the family's 1533-position model. The record is from RNAcentral.